UACGAAGGGGGCUAGCGUUGCUCGGAAUUACUGGGCGUAAAGGGCGCGUAGGCGGCUCAUGAAGGCUGUGGUGAAAGUCCGGGGCUCAACCUCGGAUCGGCCGUGGCGACUCGUGGGCUGGAGCACUGUAGAGGCGGGUGGAAUUCCGGGUGUAGCGGUGGAAUGCGUAGAGAUCCGGAAGAACACCAGUGGCGAAGGCGGCCCGCUGGGCAGUGGCUGACACUGAGGCGCGACAGCGUGGGGAGCAAACAGG
RNAcentral lists this ribosomal RNA (253 nucleotides) under uncultured bacterium. RNAcentral describes it as "partial 16S ribosomal RNA". It matches the Rfam family "Bacterial small subunit ribosomal RNA", at positions 524 to 776 of the family's 1533-position model. The record is from RNAcentral.